UUUUGUAUUCAUCAAAAUCCAUUAGGGGGUCAACAAUCUCCCCCUUUUUGAUGAUGACAAAACACUGAGUAUAUGCAAAAUUUGAAAUUUAAACAUAUACACAGUAUUUGAUCGGAUGUACAAGUAUAAUGUUUUGAUUAGAACUAGAUACAACGUGCAUCACUCAAAAUAUUCAAUUUUCAGUUCUUUCCUUGUGCAUAAGAUUGAUCUUUAUAGUUCUUAAAUGAUUUUGGCAUAUGAACUGAAUUUGAAUCAAGUUAAAAUGAAAUAUUGAUGCUGAAGAUAAUUGAAAGCUAGAUUCUUUUUUGACUCCCCCUUUCUUUUCCAGAAGGGCAAUUAUCUUAAAAUCAACUUUGGAGUAUGAUUAAAAAUUUUGCAUUCCAUAUACAUAUCUACUCCCCCUUUUUGUCAUCAACAUGAAGGGGACAAAUUAUCCUUAAAGCUCAAUUUAUAGUGGAAUUCAGCAUUCAUUUUACUCAAGGAUAUUCAAGUUGUGCUCCCCCUGUCCAGGUCAUUUCUAUUAGUGUAUUCAUAUCACUCCCCCUUUGUUUUGGAAUUCAUUUCAGACUCAUCUUUUGUUUAAUAUAGUUAUCACAAGAUGUGCUCCCCCUGUUUUAUGUGCAGUGUUUCUUUGUAUCAAAUUUGAACACUCAAGGUAUGUGGUAAGAUUUUUAUGGCAUAUCACACAAUCACAUACACUAUCACAGCAACACAUACACAGAAUUGGCAAUGUACACAAAGUUUUUUCAAAAGAGAUUGUAUUCAUUCAUAUGUCAUUGUUAAACCUUUGAAGUCAGUACAUAGUCAAAAGAAGAAAUCAUUACAAGUAUUGAUUUCUAAUACAAAA
This 847-nucleotide long non-coding RNA is filed under the name Phoenix dactylifera (date palm). Its description in RNAcentral is "long non-coding RNA (PDAC_LNC017630)". Lineage: Eukaryota; Viridiplantae; Streptophyta; Magnoliopsida; Arecales; Arecaceae. The record is from RNAcentral.